GAAAUGCGAUAAGUAAUGUGAAUUGCAGAAUUCAGUGAAUCAUCGAAUCUUUGAACGCACAUUGCGCCCGCCAGCACUCUGGCGGGCAUGCCUGUUCGAGUAUCAUGAAAUCUUCAAAGUAAAUCUUUUGUUAACUCAAUUGGUUUCUACUUUGGUAUUGGAGGUCUUUGCAGCUUCACACCUGCUCCUCUUUGUUCAUUAGCUGGAUCUCAGUGUUAUGCUUGGUUCCACUCGGCGUGAUAAGUUAUCUAUCGCUGAGGACACUGUAAAAGGUGGCCAAGGUAAAUGCAGAUGAACCGCUUCUAAUAGUCCAUUGACUUGGACAAUACUUUUAUGAUCUGAUCUCAAAUCAGGUAGGACUACCCGCUGAACUUAAGC
This 378-nucleotide unclassified non-coding RNA is filed under the name plant metagenome. RNAcentral describes it as "partial contains 5.8S ribosomal RNA, internal transcribed spacer 2, and large subunit ribosomal RNA". The stretch from base 1 to 105 matches the Rfam family "5.8S ribosomal RNA", at positions 50 to 154 of the family's 154-position model. The record is from RNAcentral.